This 458-nucleotide small RNA is filed under the name Pongo abelii (Sumatran orangutan). RNAcentral describes it as "retained intron". Lineage: Eukaryota; Metazoa; Chordata; Mammalia; Primates; Hominidae. The record is from RNAcentral.
CAAUUAUUCCUAGCUAUUUUAAGUUACUCAUAGAUGUAAUUAUACCUUUUAACAUGCUUUGUAGAAUUACAUUUGAUAUAUUGCCUGAAAAAUACCUGUGAUACACAAAAGAGGAUCUUACAUUCUUUUAAUCAUGUUUGCUUGACUAUCAUGACCUUCAUUUCUAUGACUAAUUUAUUUCCUAGGUGAUUUGGAUUGUGAAACCUGUACCAUAACACGGAGUGGACUGAUUGGUCUUGUUAUUGGUGGUCUAUACCCUGUUUUCUUGGCUAUACCUGUAAAUGGUGGCCUAGCAGCCAGGUAUCAAUCAGCUCUGUUACCACACAAAGGGAACAUCUUAAGUUACUGGAUUAGAACUUCUAAGCCUGUCUUUAGAAAGAUGUUAUUUCCUAUCAUGCUCCAGACUAUGUUUUCAGCAUACCUUGGGUCUGAACAAUAUAAACUACUUAUAAAGGCCC